UGCUCCCAUGUUUGGUUUCACGGUGGAUUUGUGGUCCAGAGCGCGCCGGAUAACCCACUCCUCAGCCCCGGCCCGGGGCUACCACUGCCUUGUGGCUUUAGGGGCCGGUGGCGAGACGGGCAGUGCCGGUGCCGGCUCCCUAAGAACAGGGCAGAGUCCCGUGCCAGGUGGCAGAGCGAAGUUUUACCCUAUCUCGUCGUUGCAUCCCCUCCUUCAGUGCCAUCUCCCGGAAAGUUUGGGACUUGGUGUUCAGUCCAGCUGUGGUUGGUUCCACGUCUGGUAUGUGCAGCCCUGAGAUGCUGAGAUGGGAUCAGAGACAAGAGAUCCCCCCAGCACUAACCGGAAAAAUCUGCUCCCGGUGUUCCUGAGCUGUAAGCAGAGCGCCGGGACUCCUGACCGGACGGGUGGCAUGGUGAGGGACACCGGGGAGCAUGGCUCCGUGCUCUGUACAGCUGAGUCCACAGCAGACAUGGUCAGGCUGAUGAGCAAUUCCAGCCUCCUGGCCAGUCAGCAAGACAGGACAGGCUCCGAAGGCGUUGUCACCUUUGGCCACUGUAUCCUUAACUAAAGUUGUCUCUCCAAUAUUGUUUUAUUUCAGAUAAUGCCAAAGGAAGAUGCUUCAAGUGCCAGGUGAUCUGCUUGUAAUGCUUUGCUAAAGUGUUGUCCUUGCUGUCACACCGAGUUUAAAUAUCACUCUUUAAUCCUGUUUCCACAGCACAGCCUGAAAUACACUUGUUCUGAAUGAAGUGUCAACACUUCAGUGAAUUCUCUAGGUUACAGCUUAAAUCCAAGCUCACAUGAAGAUACAGAAUGAACAAGACCUUGCUUGCAGGCGAACUGUGUAGUCAUUCUUGCUGGGGAAAGUAUUUGCCUUCCUGACACUCCACCUGUGCACCAGAGUGCAGCAGCAGAGGCAUGUGCUCCACGUGCUCUGCAGUGCAACCACAUUCAGUGGGUUUUGGCUCUCCACUUUACAGAUGUUACUUCUAAUUUCUGAACUGGUGUGAGGGAAGUUUACUAAUACAAUUCCAGCUCUUGAUACCCAUCUAGCAAUGGCAUUAUCUGAGUAUGACUGGGAGAUGAAGCGGAAUAAUAAAAAAAAAAAGGUAUUUAUUUAUUUCAGCAGGUGCUAAAUGCAAACACCUCAGGCUUGCCAGGAGUUGGAUACAUUAGAGCCUAGUGUCUUCCAUGUGCUUCUUGGAUUUGCUGUGUUGCGAGAGGAAUGGGGCCGUGCUUGGAUACUUUUUCAUAUGUUUUAUGGUGAAACUCAUUGCCGAAGCAUGAUAUUGGCACUAAAGGUUCCCAAGUGUUUCAAAAAAGCAUGAAACAUGAGGGGAAGAAAACUGCCAGGUGCUGCCAGGGGAUCACAACAAUGCCUCCUUUUGACUAAAGAAGAACCUGAAGAGAUGUUAGGAAAGUAUUGUUAUAUGUUUGGCAUCCUUCCUCAGGCAUAAUCUCCCUUGCUGUCGUCCACAUUGGUUUCCACAGGGAAAACAGCUGCAAGUGUUCAUAGUUCAGUCCCCAUCAUUAUGAAGAUGGAAUUUUGGGUGCUGAGAUGGGCUCAGGGACUCCGGAGGACCACAUUCAGGAGUGGAUGAGAUGAGAAGGGACAGAAGAGGGAAUGUGUCUCCCCAUGGCAGGCCCUCUCCUUGGUGUAUCCUUCAUACCAUUUGUGUGGAUCUCACCUGUUCAUUGUGGUCAUCAGUGUCUGCUGGCUGCAGCAGGCUCUGCAGGAUCUUUCCUGGCACCGAGGGGGGCCGCUUAGCAGCUAUUGAGGAGACAUCUAGGGAGAGAGGUUUCUGCCAGUGGUGCUGGCAGCCUGCUUUGUGUUUUGGAAACCCAGCACCUGUCCUUCCAAGCCAAGAGACAAGCAUUGUGACCAUGCCCCAGUCUUUGGCGAGUCCUCAUCAUGCAGUAGUGCAACCAAGAGCAGAACGCUCAUUUAAGGACUCAGUGGGAGAGAUACUCCUCAGCCUCCUGUGCCACCAGAUGCCAGCAGCACUGGCACAGUGAACUGCUGCUGGAGGGGAAGCACAAGGUGCAAGGUAAAGUCCCACCCAGCAUGAGUGAUGGAGGCAGAUGAAGGGGGUGAGAGGGAACAAACUGAGCUGAGCUGAUAAAGGGGGAGAAGGAAGCCCUUCCCCAAGGCGGCAACUGAACCAGCUGCUGAGUGGGGACUGCAGUGUGAGGAAGAGACAGUGAAUGGAAAACCAGGGAAUGACAAAUAUCAGAUCUCUAGAUCCAAGUGGGAGACACCCUGCUCACUGUGUGUGGUGCAGAAGCAGCAUGGCUGCAGCUGGUGGUACAGUGCCUGUGGCAACAGGGCUGCCAAGCUGAUAUCCCACAGAAAAAAGCAUAGUGAGUGAGGUUAGAAAAUUAAAAAUUUCUGUCCUGGGAAAGGAAAUGACAUAGAGGAAAAGAGAAAAACUAAGGAAGCUCUGGCUGCUCUGAGAGAAAGGAGCCAUUUUUUUUUUGUUUUUUUAGUGUUUUUAUGUAUGGGGACUUUGUGCAGGCAGUGGAAGCUGCAGACAAAAGGACAGAAAGGGACAAGUGGAAUGAGGGAUUUAACAAGGUGAGGAGGCAACUUCAGCUCAUGGCUGGGCUGGGGAGGUGCUGAACAAAAGGUAUCCAAUUGGCAGGGAAGAUGGGAGCAAAGUAGGGAAGCCCAACUCACCCUGAAGGGUGAAUGGGACCAGGAAGGGGGAAAAUGACACAGAGGCUGGAACAGAAAGAGGAGGCAGAGGCACAGGGGAGUGGAGGAGGAGGCGCACUAGAGGUUGCACUGCUGGUGGUGUGCCCUUGCUUAGGGUGGUCUGGAGAAGACUGCUCUGCUUGUGGGCAGAUAUGGAUAGCGGGGUGGGUUAAAGAUGGAAGGAAGAUGUGAUCUCCUUAGCUGGAAGACUGUACCUGGAGAGUAGUAUCUUCUUAUAGUACAUGAUAGAAAGGUUGUUUAGUUCCAAGGGAGCAGGGUAUAAGUAAUGUGGGCAGAUGUGACCAGAAAUGAUGGGCGAGGGGAGAUGACAACACCCAUAAAAUCAUGAAUAAUAUGGGGAAGCAACAGAAGCUGUCAGUGUGUCUGACAACAGAGGACCCAUAUGGGUGUAGUAGCUUUAAACAAACAAAAGUAGCUCAUACAGUUUAUGCACAGCUUGGUAACGUGAGAAGUGGAUGGCUCCAGGAUGCCAUGAACAUCAGAGGCAUGAGAUUGAAAAGGGAUUAGCCAAAUUCACAGAGAGCAGAUUUCUCAGGGGUUAUUAAAAAUGUCAAUCUGAGUCAUCUUCCAGUUCUUGAAGUCCCUGAACUAACUCUUCAGAUAUUCUUGCUAUUCUGUACUCACUCUGUUUCUAUGGUGAAUUUGAGUGAAGUGUCUGAGUUGAUCUAACAGCUUGCUGAUGAUGAUACAUGCAGUUCUGCAUCCCUCCUAAAAGUACCUGUGCAUCUGUGCUGUUUCUGCUGCACCAGUUCUGGGAUUUAUUCAGUUCAUUAAACUGGCAGAUAACUCAGAGUGAAUACUUCUCUUCCUGUUUAGUGAGCUGAAUUAGUCCACUGUUUUCUAAGCCAGUGGUUCUUGCUUCUCUCUGCAAAGCAAGAUUAGAUAUUUUUUUAAUGGAAGUGAAGAUUAUUCUGUUAUUAUCUGAUUCCAGGUGUUCAGGUUUUAAGUAUUUAGAACGUCAGAGUCAUGAUAAGAUCCUGAUAUUAUAAAAGCUCCCAACAGAGCUGGAGCCUUGGCUCUCCUGAGUGCCACACAGUUUAGGAAUAUUAUUAAAACACAGUGAGUGGGGAAAAAAGAAUCAUGCUUGUCUGGGCAGCAGUGCUGCAUGGCUUGGUAGUCUCACAUCAUUAUCAGCACUCUGUAUGGCAAACAACAUAAGUUUUGUUGGGUUUGGGUUUUUGUGUGUGUAACUGUUUCUCGUUCCUAGAAUCAGCAAGGUGCCACCAUUACCUCCCCUAGGAGCCUGCAGCCAUACCAGGGUAUGGUAACAAAGGCGCUGAGAAGCAAACAGGCACAUAAGAAACAGGUCAAUGUCUUGUUAGUCUGUACUACUGCCACCUUCCUCUCAGUCAGAAAGCAUAUGCUAUGGCAUUACAGUGAGAACACUUUCUCCUCCUCAGACUGAGGGUUUUCUUAUUUGUCUUCACCAGCUUCAACCUGGCAUGCCAGGAGCCACAACCUGGCGUACCUGGAGAACACCAGGAUGGGCAGUUGCAGUUGCUGGGAAUAAUAAACAGGAUUUGCACACAGUAGGAGCAGGGUUUGUCUGCAUGUAUGAGACAUCUCCACUACAGAUUCUUCCAUAUGCUGGUGAUUGAAAAAAAGACAAAUGUCAUCAUACCUGUCAUCAAGAAUGGCAAGAAGGAGGAUCCAGGCAACAGUCAGCCUCAACUCAGUCCCUGGGGAGACUGGACAGCACAUUAUCCUGGAAGCUAUUUCCAAGCACAUGAAGGAUGAAAAAGUGACUGGGAUUUACCUGACCAACCUUAUUUCCUUCUACAAUGAGACAACAGCCUGUGUGGAGGGUGUCAAAUUGAUUAGGAUUGGCUUUAUCGAGGCUUUUGACAUGGUUCUGCACAGUGUACUUGUAGGCAAGUUAGUGAGAUUUGGACUGGAUAAUUGGAAUGUGAAGGGAAUGAAGAACUGGCUGGAUGGUUGGGCUGAAGGGCUCAUAUCAACCAUAUGAAAUCCAACUGGCAACUAGUUCCUGGGGGCAUCCUUCAGGGAUGCACACUGGUAGGUUGAUAGUGACUAAUGUCUUUUUUAAUGGCCUGGGCAAUGAGCUGUCUUGCACUUUCAGCAAGUUUACAGACAACACCAAAUUGGGGAGAACAAUUGCAAUAUGCCUUAGGUCAGGGCUGCUACUCAGAUGAACCUUGGCAGGCUGGGGAAGAGGGCCUCUCCCUCAGUAACAGGUGCUGGAAAUACAACUGCUGUGAAGGUAUGAGUUGCCACCAGAAGCUGGAGGUGGUGUGUAUGUAAAGGAGGUGGCUUAGAGGAAAUCUGGCUGAAAGGGCUCUUCACAUUUUCUUCUGUUUCACCAGUGAUGAAAUCUAAAUGCAAAAUCUGUUAUUGGCAACAAUUGUGUGGAAUAUGUGUCUGGUCAUUGGUAUUUUGAAGACAACCAUCUUGGCUGUAUUGAAAAAGAAUUCAGAAAAGUUGAAUGAAUUUUGCCGAAGCUGUUGGGAAUUCCUCACCUCUGAGUGACAAGAGCUACUGAGAACCUGUGGCCAGAUUGUCAUAAUGUAAAUUGCAUGGGAAUUGUAGCUACGGGCUGUUCCUCUUGACAUUCCUUCAAGGACUUGCAAGGUUUACCACAGAGGGAGUAGUAAACUCAAAAAGGAAAAGCAGGGUACCGAGAAGUAGUUUCUAUGCACUACUGGUAGUUCAAAAUUUGAACCAGCAGAAAUUGUCUAUCCAUCAUUAACUGCUACAGAAUAGCCAGGAAAAUAUGAGCCAUCACAUCUUCAUGGUAUCAAAAUACCUUUUUGCAUUAGAAUAUCAGGGUGGCAAAAAUCAUAAUUGUCAAGGAAGACAUUCUGACACUAUGUUACAAAGUGUCUUGUGCAAACACAUUUCCAUCAUGCCAUAUACUAGUUACAUUUACAAAGCAAUCAUUUCAAAAAGGAUUUUUUUGCCAGGUUUGUUUGUGAAGAUGUGAUCUGUUCAUCAGUAGGGCUUCAUAUAUGUAAGUAGUCUUACAUAAUGUUAUAGUAUUAGUUAAAUAAGAAGCUUUUUUGUUGAAUUUUUUGUAUCAUCACAUAGUUCAAAGUACAGGGGACCACCCCUGCCCUGCCGGGGCUGCACCAGGGAGGGACUGUCCCCCAGCACUGGUACCCUGCUAGAAAGAGUAGGGUGGUCCCUGAAGUGAAACAUCACGAGAACUCAGGGAAAGGGGAUAAAACUCUCCAGUGCUUCUGGAACUGUCUCUCUUGGUACUUGUGGUUUUGCUCACUGGAGCCUUUCCCCCGGGGACCAACCUGCUUCAUCAGCGGUUGCUCUCGCUCUGUCGCAACCCAGCUUUCCCUCACCGUGGCAAGCUGUCACCAGUGCUUUUUGCCGUGGCAACUGCCGUCAGCUGCCUGAGGGGUGCCAGCGCCGCUGCCAGCCGCUGCCACAGCCAUGCCAAAAGCCUGGGAAUUUCCUUCUGGGAGCUGUACGGGGCACUGCCACCACUUGGCUCAUGAUCACCUGGUCCCAGCGCUGCUUUGGUUCCAUCGUUGUCACGUCACAUGGUUUUGCUUCGUCGGGAUCCACGCUGCUGUCUUGGUGGCAUAGGACUCCUUUCUUUGAACGAAACACUCUUCCAGGUUUUUCUCAUUAUCACCAAGGGAGAGGAAGUGGCUAGGUAACAUAUUUUGUGCUUUUGUUUGUUUUUGUUUUGUUCUGUAUUGUUCUCCAUUUUUUAGUAGAAUUGUUAUCUUUUUCCUCCUUCAUUCAGACUCCUCGUAACUUCAAAAUUUGUCAGUAUUUGGGAGAAGGGAGUAAACAAAAGAGAAGUGGAGGUUUACCUCAUUAGAGGUUCCACCUCCUGAAUAUAUUGUCAUUAAACCAAGACACAUAUACAGCAUUUGUUUCCUCUGUAACGCCCUCACAGGGAACUGUUUUCAGAUAGGUAAGCAUGGCAGGAUUCCCUCAACCCACAGGCUUUCCACGACCGACCAUCUUUCUUUCACAUUGCAAGGUUCAGGCUUAUCCUGAGAGGAUUGAUCAGGUUCCAUUUUCAUUGUCCUGCCAGUCUUCAGUCAUGGUGACUCUUCAUUGCUGACACUUGUCCUCUUUCCUGGUUGUAGGAAUAACCUGCACUGGAAUUUAAUGGUGCUGCAGUGAACACACGUGCUUUGACUUACAUUUAGCUAUUUCUUCUGUUCUCAAUAAAUUCCACAUUUUAAUUGAAAUAACUAUGUGCUGGGACAUCUCAGUAUGUACUUCAGUAGAAACAUAAAAUGUGUUUUAGGUUACCUGUGUGGUCAGUGUUGCAAGAGCUUCAUUGUAGAGGCACUGAGAAAUCACACAGCCCUUGUGUACCUUCUGUGAAAUGAAUUUGUGUGCUCUGGACUGCAAUUCACAGAGCAUUAUAAAACAUGGUAAAUAUGGACAUUGA
Pseudopipra pipra is the source of this 7097-nucleotide long non-coding RNA. RefSeq lists it as uncharacterized. Lineage: Eukaryota; Metazoa; Chordata; Aves; Passeriformes; Pipridae. The record is from RefSeq and is a predicted model, not a curated record. The transcript has 2 exons.